Molecule: ribosomal RNA, 797 nt
Filed under: uncultured bacterium
Lineage: Bacteria
Description: bacterial SSU rRNA
Rfam family: Bacterial small subunit ribosomal RNA
Source: RNAcentral
CAAGUCGAGCGGAAAGGCCCCUUUGGGGGUACUCGAGCGGCGAACGGGUGAGUAACACGUGAGUAACCGGCCCCAGUCUUUGGGAUAACCCUCGGAAACGGGGGCUAAUACCGGAUGUGCACGCGCUCUCGCAUGGGGGUGUGUGGAAAGUUUUUUCGGUCUGGGAUGGGCUCGCGGCCUAUCAGCUUGUUGGUGGGGUGAUGGCCUACCAAGGCGACGACGGGUAGCCGGCCUGAGAGGGCGACCGGUCACACUGGGACUGAGACACGGCCCAGACUCCUACGGGAGGCAGCAGUGGGGAAUAUUGCACAAUGGGCGGAAGCCUGAUGCAGCGACGCCGCGUGAGGGAUGACGGCCUUCGGGUUGUAAACCUCUUUCAGCACCGACGAAGCCUUUGUGGUGACGGUAGGUGCAGAAGAAGCGCCGGCCAACUACGUGCCAGCAGCCGCGGUAAGACGUAGGGCGCGAGCGUUGUCUGGAUUUAUUGGGCGUAAAGAGCUCGUAGGCGGCUUGUCGCGUCGACUGUGAAAACCCGCGGCUCAACUGUGGGCGUGCAGUCGAUACGGGCAGGCUGGAGUUCGGUAGGGGAGACUGGAAUUCCUGGUGUAGCGGUGAAAUGCGCAGAUAUCAGGAGGAACACCGGUGGCGAAGGCGGGUCUCUGGGCCGAUACUGACGCUGAGGAGCGAAAGCGUGGGGAGCGAACAGGAUUAGAUACCCUGGUAGUCCACGCUGUAAACGUUGGGCGCUAGGUGUGGGGGGCCUCUCCGGUUCUCUGUGCCGCAGCUAACGCAUUAAG